Molecule: ribosomal RNA, 503 nt
Filed under: uncultured bacterium
Lineage: Bacteria
Description: partial 16S ribosomal RNA
Rfam family: Bacterial small subunit ribosomal RNA
Source: RNAcentral
AUUAAACGCUGGCGGCAGGCUUAACACAUGCAAGUCGAGCGGGGUGAUGGUGCUUGCACUAUCACUUAGCGGCGGACGGGUGAGUAAUGCUUAGGAAUCUGCCUAUUAGUGGGGGACAACAUCUCGAAAGGGAUGCUAAUACCGCAUACGUCCUACGGGAGAAAGCAGGGGAUCACUUGUGACCUUGCGCUAAUAGAUGAGCCUAAGUCGGAUUAGCUAGUUGGUGGGGUAAAGGCCUACCAAGGCGACGAUCUGUAGCGGGUCUGAGAGGAGGAUCCGCCACACCGGGACUGAGACACGGCCCAGACUCCUACGGGAGGCAGCAGUGGGGAAUAUUGGACAAUGGGGGGAACCCUGAUCCAGCCAUGCCGCGUGUGUGAAGAAGGCCUUAUGGUUGUAAAGCACGUUAAGCGAGGAGGAGGCUCUUUUGGUUAAUACCCAAGAUGAGUGGACGUUACUCGCAGAAUAAGCACCGGCUAACUCUGUGCCAGCAGCCGCGGUAA